This 85-nucleotide transfer RNA is filed under the name Felis catus (domestic cat). It matches the Rfam family "tRNA". From Rfam's summary of the family: Transfer RNA (tRNA) molecules are approximately 80 nucleotides in length. Their secondary structure includes four short double-helical elements and three loops (D, anti-codon, and T loops). Lineage: Eukaryota; Metazoa; Chordata; Mammalia; Carnivora; Felidae. RNAcentral also lists the same sequence under 2 other names. The record is from Rfam by way of RNAcentral.
GCCUGGGUGGCUCAGUCAGUUGAGCGUCUGACUUCAGCUCAGGUCACAAUCUCACACUUCAUGGGUUCAAGCCCCGCAUCGGGCU